UUGUGUGACGUCAUACAAACUAUUUUUAUCCCCAAAGUUUUGGGAGGGAAUCCUGUCAGCAGAAAUAAAAGUACCUGUCAUCAACAUCGUGAAAACGUGAGGUGUUGUGUUCAGAUCCCAUGUCAGGACAAAUAUAAUCCAUUCAUAUUUCUAGUAUCUUUGUGAUACCACCCAUGUAAUUUGCUUUACCUCUUGUGAAUAUAUUGCGCACAUUGUAUUAUCCACCGGUAUAAUUUACUUUGCCAAAUGUGAAUGCAUAUUUCAAUUUCAUAGUAAAUAUAUUCAUAUUUCUUAAUCUUAUCAUUUUUGAUUCUCUUUAAAAAAUGUGCUCUCCUUUUACCUGAAACUGAAAAUUUAUAUUUCCUAUUUUAUUACCAGUGGCAAUCUACUUUAAGAUGAAGUUUGAUAAUAUAGACACCAUAUUAUAGUAUAUAAUUGCAAGAAGAAAUAUUAUGAGACUUUAAGCAUUAAAAUAAAUGCGAAAAUAAGUUGAAGAUCGGAUUGAAUGUGUUGUAUGUGUAGUCAUAAAAAAGAAUUAAUGAAAGAAAAGUGUUCUUUUCACAAUUUUCUUCCUAUUCAGUCAGGUUAGGUGUGGAAUAAUAAUUAAAAUCACAAUGCUCUGCAUUCUUCCCUCCAAAAAAAAACAAAAAACAACAAUAACACCUAGGCCAUGGUCUUCUGCAAUGACUACUAUUUCCCAGAACCAGGUUUGAUGCCAUAAGUCAUAAUGAAAAUCAAAAUCAUACAUACACUGUGGUUAUGACAUUUAGGAAAACGAUUGUAAAUUCCUUAUGUAUCAUAACUUCCUCCCCAGGGAUCAACUACAUGAAGAACUAGCAAAUAUGCUCGUGGCACUCCUGUAGUACAAAUAAGUCAUAUUGUCCAAAACUUGUGAACUAAGAAUCUGCAAAUCUAUUCUUAAAUGGUGCGUUUAAUGAAGUAAAUUUCUCAUAAGUGGUUUUCAAGAUAGUUUUCAUUGAGAAACAUGCUUCAUUUGAAACCUGACAACUACAGCAUUUAGAUUUGUUGUUUGCUGCAUUUAUUUGUUAUUUAUUUUUUUUUUUUUUGCAAGCCUAUAGCAUCAAGUGGAAAUAAAUUUUAACAAAUGCUGACACAUAUAAUGUAUGCAUUUAAAUUGUUAUAGGCAUAUCAUGUAUUUAUUAAAAAACUUGUUACCUUGAUACAAACUUUAACUCUUGUAGAGCUGGUCAGCUAUACUUGUUUUUAUAUUCUUAGCACCUUCAUUGAAGCGUGUACCUUCACCUCUCCAUAUUUCUCAGAUUCAAAGUUAUCAGAGUGGGGUGACUAUGUGAGGUGACCUCUCAGAUGACAAGUCCUCUCCAUUUGACUACCGUCAGUUGUAACCUAGACUUAUUUCCUUUGCUUCGACUACAACAGUUUUAUUAGACCCAACACCGUUGCAAGAAGCACGGAAACUGAAUUUCGAUGAAUGUGGCACAAUUUCUUAUAAAAAGUUCGUGCACAUAUUCCAGGACUGAAUUCACACACUUCAGCAGCGAGUGAACUGCAUGGAUUCGUAUUCUCAGCUGGGAAUACAUUCUUCUUUCUGAGAUCGGAACAAGGAUGGUAAUGAGUGAAGUAAACGUGUGCUUGCAGUGGUUCUGAAUACGGCAAGGAAGCUAUAAAAUUUUCAGAAAAUCGACAACGGUGUGGAAACACGAUGCCUUUAGUGUCAGCUGCUUUCGCACAUGGGAAGUAUUAAUAUGUUUAUGAAAAUGGUUAUUUUACUCUUGAAUGUGAUACUUCCACCAGAGAACAUACUACAUAGCAGUAGGUGCAGUGUUUCCAAAGCUCCAUUUCGUCAAAGUCGUGUCAAUGUAUUGAAAACACGAAAGCAGGAACUGGUUUGACCUCCUGAGUAACUUAAGACCGCAGAUAUAAUUUAUCAAUGUCUAUGUUCCAUCAAAACAACUUCGUUCCUCGACAGACCACGCUACCCCAUACCUGCCAAAAGCUCGCACCAGAAGGUGUGGUAAGCGAUCCUUUUUUUAUGCUGGAGUGGAACUAUGGAACUGGCUGGCAUUCUCAGUUCGAGCCAUUUCAGACUGUUGAGUUUCAAGAGGGCGUUAAAGGCGUUCUUGCUUCGGAAAUACUUCAUGCAGUGACUCUAUUCUUACUGCAUUCCUAUAUGUUUUCCAUGGUUAAGAUGCGUGUAUUUUGUCAAGUGUGUGUUUGGGUGAGUGGGUGAAUGUUUUGAUGAGGCUACUAUUAUUUUACACUUUUCUCUUAUCAAUUGUAUUCCAUAUUCAUGGUCUGGUAAUGCAAAGGGCGGAAAGUCUGACCACAUGCUGGUAGUCCACACUCAACAAGCAACCUUAUCAUUGUUAAAUAACAAAAUUAUGCACACAUCCACAAAGAAGAAGUUAAAAUAAAAAAUCUCUAUAUUUA
Molecule: long non-coding RNA, 2409 nt
Organism: Pomacea canaliculata
Lineage: Eukaryota; Metazoa; Mollusca; Gastropoda; Architaenioglossa; Ampullariidae
Exons: 2
Source: RefSeq, a predicted model, not a curated record